AUGCACGCAAGUGUGAUAAGGGAACCCAAAGUGCUUAUGCAUAGCAUAGGCUUUUGCCAAGAGUAAAUAUCUUGGAGAAUAAGUGGUGGGUAAGACUGGUGCCAGCAGCCGCGAUAACACCAGCGCCACGAGUGGCAACCCUAUAUUGGGUCUAAAGCGUCCGUAGCCUGUUAAGCAAGUCUCUUGUGAAACUGUUAUCCUUAAUGUAACAACGUGCAAAAGAUACUACUUAACUUGGAACUGGGAGGAGUCAGGAGUAUUCGAAGGGGAGCGGUAAAAUGCUAUAAUCCUUCGAGGACUACCUGUGGCGAAAGCGCCUGACUAGAACAGAUUCGACGGUGAGGGACGAAAGCCAGGGGAGCAAACCGGAUUAGAUACCCGAGUAGUCCUGGCCAUAAACGCUGUGAGCAAGGUGUCGCAUAUUCUUCGUGAAUAUGCGGUGUCGAAACGAAGGUGUUAAGCUCACCACCUGGGAAGUAUG
Molecule: ribosomal RNA, 481 nt
Filed under: uncultured archaeon
Lineage: Archaea
Description: bacterial SSU rRNA
Rfam family: Archaeal small subunit ribosomal RNA
Source: RNAcentral